GCCACUCAUUAAAAGAGUGCGUAAUAGCUCACUGGUCGAGUGGCUCUGCGCCGAAAAUUCAACGGGGCUAAAAUCUAUACCGAAGCUUGGGCUUGACAGUAAUGUCAGGGGUAGGGGAGCGUUGUGUAAGAGGAGAAGUCAUAGCGGAAGCGGUGGUGGAUUUUACACAAGUGAGAAUGCCGGAAUGAGUAGCGAGAAUUAUGUGAGAAUCAUAAUGGCCGAAAGUCUAAGGUUUCAGAAGGAAGGUUCGUCCGCUUCUGGUAAGCCGGGAGCUAAGGUAAGGCCGAAAGGCGUAGCCGAUGCACAUACGGUAGAAAUUCCGUAGCCUCCAUCCAUUUAAGCACAGGGACACUUUUGAAGGGUUUAGCCGGGCGUUGGUUGCCCCGGUCGUAAGGGACUGCAAAUGAGCGGGAAGUAAACUUGGAAGAAGACGAGAAAAGCUGUGUGUAUAGAAGAUGGAGCCCGUACCGCAAACCGACACAGGUAGACAGGAAGAAGAUUCUAAGGCCAACGGGAGAAGGGUUGUUAAGGAACUCGGCAAGUUGACCCCGUAACUUCGGAAGAAGGGGUGCUCACGCAAGUGAGCCGCAGAGAAUAGGUCCAGGCGACUGUUUAGCAAAAACACAGCUCUAUGCUAAAUCGAAAGAUGAUGUAUAUGGGGUGACACCUGCCCGGUGCCGGAAGGUUAAGAGGAGGAGUGAGAGCUCUGAAUUGAAGCCCCGGUAAACGGCGGCCGUAACUAUAACGGUCCUAAGGUAGCGAAAUUCCUUGUCAGGUAAGUUCUGACCCGCACGAAUGGCGUAACGAUCUGGGCACUGUCUCAACAGCCCGCCCGGCGAAAUUGUAGUACCGGUGAAGAUGCCGGUUACCCGCGACUAGACGGAAAGACCCCAUGGAGCUUCACUGUAGCUUAAUAUUGAAUUUCGGUAUUUCAUGUACAGGAUAGGUGGGAGACUGGGAAGUACGGGCGUCAGCUUGUAUGGAGUCAACCUUGGGAUACCACUCUUGAGGUGCUGGAAUUCUAACCUGUGGCUCUGAAUCGAGUCAGGGGACAUUGUUAGGUGGGCAGUUUGACUGGGGCGGUCGCCUCCUAAAAGGUAACGGAGGCGCUCAAAGGUUCUCUCAGCACGGAUGGAAACCAUGCUUUUGAGUGUAAACGCAUAAGGGAGCUUAACUGCGAGACUGACGGGUCGAGCAGUAACGAAAGUUGGAGUUAGUGAUCCGGCGGUAUGUGAGUGGAAAUGCCGUCGCUCAACGGAUAAAAGCUACCCUGGGGAUAACAGGCUGAUCUCCCCCAAGAGUCCACAUCGACGGGGAGGUUUGGCACCUCGAUGUCGGCUCAUCGCAUCCUGGGGCUGAAUUCGGUCCCAAGGGUUUGGCUGUUCGCCAAUUAAAGCGGUACGCGAGCUGGGUUCAGAACGU
RNAcentral lists this ribosomal RNA (1422 nucleotides) under bioreactor metagenome. RNAcentral describes it as "bacterial LSU rRNA". It matches the Rfam family "Bacterial large subunit ribosomal RNA", at positions 1115 to 2619 of the family's 2925-position model. The record is from RNAcentral.